GGUCAGGACGAACGCUGGCGGCGUGCCUAACACAUGCAAGUCGAACGAAGCAUUUGGAGCCGAUCUCUUCGGAGUGACGCACCUUAUGACUUAGUGGCGGACGGGUGAGUAACACGUGAGCAACCUGCCUCUCAGAGUGGAAUAACAGUUGGAAACGGCUGCUAAUACCACAUAACGUUUUUGUGCCGCAUGACACUUCAACCAAAGAUUUAUCGCUGAGAGAUGGGCUCGCGUCCGAUUAGGUAGAUGGUGGGGUAACGGCCUACCAUGCCGACGAUCGGUAGCCGGACUGAGAGGUUGAUCGGCCACAUUGGGACUGAGACACGGCCCAGACUCCUACGGGAGGCAGCAGUGGGGGAUAUUGCACAAUGGGCGCAAGCCCUGAUGCAGCAACGCCGCGUGGCGGGAAGACGGCCGUUCGGGUUAGUAAACCGCUGUCCUUGGGGAAGAAACAAAUGACGGUACCCAAGAAGGAAGCCACGGCUAACUACGUGCCAGCCGCUGC
Molecule: ribosomal RNA, 505 nt
Filed under: uncultured bacterium
Lineage: Bacteria
Description: bacterial SSU rRNA
Rfam family: Bacterial small subunit ribosomal RNA
Source: RNAcentral